GUCUACAGCCAUGCUACCCUGAACAAGCCCGAUCCCAUCUGAUCUUGGAAGCUAAGCAGGGUCAGGCCUGGUUAGUACUUGCAUGGGAGACCACCUAGGAAGCCCAGGUGCUGUAGGUG
Molecule: ribosomal RNA, 119 nt
Filed under: Pteropus alecto (black flying fox)
Lineage: Eukaryota; Metazoa; Chordata; Mammalia; Chiroptera; Pteropodidae
Source: RNAcentral